RNAcentral lists this ribosomal RNA (404 nucleotides) under uncultured bacterium. RNAcentral's name for it is "bacterial SSU rRNA". It matches the Rfam family "Bacterial small subunit ribosomal RNA", at positions 362 to 758 of the family's 1533-position model. The record is from RNAcentral.
UUUUGGACAAUGGGCGCAAGCCUGAUCCAGCAAUGCCGCGUGAGUGAAGAAGGCCUUCGGGUUGUAAAGCUCUUUUGUCAGGGAAGAAACGGUGAGCUCUAAUACAGUUUGCUAAUGACGGUACCUGAAGAAUAAGCACCGGCUAACUACGUGCCAGCAGCCGCGGUAAUACGUAGGGUGCAAGCGUUAAUCGGAAUUACUGGGCGUAAAGCGUGCGCAGGCGGUUAUGUAAGUCAGAUGUGAAAUCCCCGGGCUCAACCUGGGAAUGGCAUUUGAGACUGCAUGGCUAGAGUGUGUCAGAGGGGGGUAGAAUUCCACGUGUAGCAGUGAAAUGCGUAGAGAUGUGGAGGAAUACCGAUGGCGAAGGCAGCCCCCUGGGAUAACACUGACGCUCAUGCACGAAA